Molecule: transfer RNA, 70 nt
Filed under: Pipistrellus hesperidus
Lineage: Eukaryota; Metazoa; Chordata; Mammalia; Chiroptera; Vespertilionidae
Description: partial tRNA-Thr
Rfam family: tRNA
About the family: Transfer RNA (tRNA) molecules are approximately 80 nucleotides in length. Their secondary structure includes four short double-helical elements and three loops (D, anti-codon, and T loops). Further hydrogen bonds mediate the characteristic L-shaped molecular structure. tRNAs have two regions of fundamental functional importance: the anti-codon, which is responsible for specific mRNA codon recognition, and the 3' end, to which the tRNAs corresponding amino acid is attached (by aminoacyl-tRNA synthetases). tRNAs cope with the degeneracy of the genetic code in two manners: having more than one tRNA (with a specific anti-codon) for a particular amino acid; and 'wobble' base-pairing, i.e. permitting non-standard base-pairing at the 3rd anti-codon position.
Source: RNAcentral
GUCUAUGUAGUAUAUUUAAUUACACUGGUCUUGUAAACCAGAAAAGGAGAAUAAACACUCUCCAAAGACU